CCCCAGACUGCUCCUGCCCAGGCCGGCAGGACUGAGUCACAGGGGCCACGGCUUUGAGGGACCUUGGAAGGCAUCCAGGUGACCCCCUCCAGGAGCUUCUGGCUUUAUGAUUCCUUUUUUUCCAGACUUGGCUGCCAGAGAGCUCAGUGCUGAGUUUGGAGCAUCAAUUACAAUAACUAAUUCAUUCCAGAGGGCUUAUGAAGAUAAAAUGAGACAUGGCAGUGUUCCCCAGAUGAGGAUCCAGAGACAGGCGGCACUCAUGAGGACAUUUUAACCAGCUUGCAGUGAGAUGAGGAAAUUGAGGACAUGGAGGGAGGCAUU
Manis pentadactyla (Chinese pangolin) is the source of this 321-nucleotide long non-coding RNA. RefSeq lists it as uncharacterized. Lineage: Eukaryota; Metazoa; Chordata; Mammalia; Pholidota; Manidae. The transcript is spliced from 3 exons. The record is from RefSeq and is a predicted model, not a curated record.